This 270-nucleotide ribosomal RNA is filed under the name uncultured archaeon. Its description in RNAcentral is "partial 16S ribosomal RNA". It matches the Rfam family "Archaeal small subunit ribosomal RNA", at positions 477 to 747 of the family's 1478-position model. The record is from RNAcentral.
CAGCACCUCAAGUGGUCAGGAUGAUUAUUGGGCCUAAAGCAUCCGUAGCCGGGGCUGUAAGUUUUCGGUUAAAUCUGUACGCUCAACGUACAGGCUGCCGGGAAUACUGCAGCGCUAGGGAGUGGGAGAGGUAGACGGUACUCGGUAGGAAGGGGUAAAAUCCUUUGAUCUAUUGAUGACCACCUGUGGCGAAGGCGGUCUACCAGAACACGUCCGACGGUGAGGGAUGAAAGCUGGGGGAGCAAACCGGAUUAGAUACCCGAGUAGUCC